Molecule: ribosomal RNA, 437 nt
Filed under: uncultured bacterium
Lineage: Bacteria
Description: bacterial SSU rRNA
Rfam family: Bacterial small subunit ribosomal RNA
Source: RNAcentral
UACGGGAGGCAGCAGGGGGAAUAUUGCACAAUGGGCGCAAGCCUGAUGCAGCCAUGCCGCGUGUAUGAAGAAGGCCUUCGGGUUGUAAAGUACUUUCAGUCGUGAGGAAGGUGUUAAGGUUAAUAACCUUAGCAAUUGACGUUAGCGACAGAAGAAGCACCGGCUAACUCCGUGCCAGCAGCCGCGGUAAUACGGAGGGUGCGAGCGUUAAUCGGAAUUACUGGGCGUAAAGGGCACGCAGGCGGUUAAUUAAGUUGGAUGUGAAAUCCCCGGGCUUAACCUGGGAAUGGCAUUCAAGACUGGUUAGCUAGAGUCUUGUAGAGGGGGUAGAAUUCCAUGUGUAGCGGUGAAAUGCGUAGAGAUGUGGAGGAAUACCGGUGGCGAAGGCGGCCCCUGGACAAAGACUGACGCUCAUGUGCGAAAGCGUGGGGAGCAAA